Molecule: long non-coding RNA, 1061 nt
Filed under: Strigops habroptila (Kakapo)
Lineage: Eukaryota; Metazoa; Chordata; Aves; Psittaciformes; Psittacidae
Description: lncRNA (ENSSHBG00005019274.1)
Source: RNAcentral
GGGACGAAAUGGGAGCAUCCUCGACGGUUAUCUGCUUUUGGUGCUGUUUCCUCCUUGUAGCACAGUAAAAAAUGCAAAUGUAAGCAAAGCAGAAGCUGGCACGUUCAGCACAGCACAUCCUAAACACAAUAGCGAUUUUGGGUAAAGCUCCCAAACGCAGCUUCGCUCCAGCUCGGCUAAAGCAGCUAUUCCAUAAUUGAUAAUUGAUGGAAGAAUUGAUCAUCACCGCACACCGGACAGGAUGCCCUAAUAAACCUCAGUAAAUAUUUGUCAUUGGAUUCACAUGCAGAUACAUGGGUAACGCAAUAGGCAGCACGAGAGGGCUCGUGUCAGGAGGCAGCUCCGUCCCCUUCCUUGCACUUUCCUCAUUUCCCAAAAUUUCCCCCUUGCUGUUCUCAAAUGUCAGAAGAGAUAAUCAGGGCAAAUGUCAUUUCCCACCCGCUGAGCAGACCAUUUCCCAAAAGGAGGGCACUUCCAUCGCCGCAUCUGCAGGUCGGGCCGGGUGCGAGGAGGCCAUUUAUUACAGCAACACAAUUAAAAAUUCCCGCAGAUUCGGAAAUGGGCAAUUCCUUUAUGUAACCUCCAUCGAUCAUGGUAACAAUCACACUGUGCUUUAACAACCCACGUUCCGUGCAGCUUGCUUUUUUAAUUGCAUCUAUAGCAGAGGCUCGAUUUAGAGUAUUACCUCUAUAUGUUUGGAGAGCAUUCGCUUAAUCCCCAACUUUAAUUUAAUCUCUCAUCUUUAAGCGUGCAUCUGUCUCCUUGACACACUUGUUUCACGAUUCCCCCCCAUCCUUGAUAUAAAUCUGAUUUAUGCCGAGGCGCUGGGUUACCCUUAACACGGCAUUACUAGAGGGAAGGAUGCGGGUUUUGAAGCAUCACUGGGUCUAGUCUGCCUUGCGGGAUUGGGCUAUUGCUCCAGGUCGCGCCGGGAGCGGGCACAUAGUGCACGGCUCUCCCGUUCCGCUGGGGCCGGGGGCCCGAACCGGUGCGGCAUCCCGUCUCCGUGCCAUCAUCGGCGCCCCGGGACUGCGCCGAGCCGGGGCUCCGGGACCGCACCG